AGGUCUAUGAUAACAAACCACUUUCAUGAAGAGACGUGAUGAUGAAAAAUCAUGGGUUACGCUGAGGCCC
RNAcentral lists this small nucleolar RNA (70 nucleotides) under Mesocricetus auratus (golden hamster). RNAcentral's name for it is "Small nucleolar RNA SNORD115". It matches the Rfam family "Small nucleolar RNA SNORD115". Rfam says of the family: HBII-52 is a member of the C/D class of snoRNAs, which contain the C (UGAUGA) and D (CUGA) box motifs. Lineage: Eukaryota; Metazoa; Chordata; Mammalia; Rodentia; Cricetidae. The record is from Rfam by way of RNAcentral.